This is a non-coding RNA of Canis lupus familiaris (dog), 104 nucleotides long. NCBI's taxonomy places the organism in Eukaryota, Metazoa, Chordata, Mammalia, Carnivora, Canidae. The record is from Rfam.
AGGAGGAACAGCCCCAGUGGCGGGGCAGCUCUGGAAACCCGGAUUCAGCUCUGGCAGGAACCACGGAGCUCUCCGUCUGCAGGGCCUGGAGGCUCCGGGCGGGG